GCUGGGCAUGAUGGCUCAUGCCCGUAAUCCCAUUACUUUGGGAGGCUGAGGCAGGUGGAUCACCAGAGGUCGGGAGUUCAAGACCAGCCUGACCAACAUGGCGAAACCCUGUCUCUA
This is an unclassified non-coding RNA of Macaca fascicularis (crab-eating macaque), 117 nucleotides long. It matches the Rfam family "Metazoan signal recognition particle RNA". Rfam says of the family: The signal recognition particle (SRP) is a universally conserved ribonucleoprotein. It is involved in the co-translational targeting of proteins to membranes. The record is from Ensembl. NCBI's taxonomy places the organism in Eukaryota, Metazoa, Chordata, Mammalia, Primates, Cercopithecidae.